This 73-nucleotide transfer RNA is filed under the name Ailuropoda melanoleuca (giant panda). It matches the Rfam family "tRNA". From Rfam's summary of the family: Transfer RNA (tRNA) molecules are approximately 80 nucleotides in length. Their secondary structure includes four short double-helical elements and three loops (D, anti-codon, and T loops). Lineage: Eukaryota; Metazoa; Chordata; Mammalia; Carnivora; Ursidae. The record is from Rfam by way of RNAcentral.
GCUUGGCUGGUUCAGUCGGCAGAGCAUGAGACUCUUGAUCUUGGGGUUGUGAGUUCAAGUCCCAUGUUGGAUG